This 30-nucleotide non-coding RNA is filed under the name Rattus norvegicus (Norway rat). The record is from RNAcentral. Lineage: Eukaryota; Metazoa; Chordata; Mammalia; Rodentia; Muridae.
UCAUUUUUGAGACAUUCCAGUGCAGUGAAC